AUUUAGGUAGCAGUCACAAGAUAAUAGAUGCUGUUAAGUGUAAUGAAGCAUGAAGAUAACAAGAUAAAUGAACCAGAAGCUUUUCAGCUUGAUCACAUCCUCCAGUUCAUAACGUAACCUUCCUACUUUAAAUAUAUAAAGGAAAAUGAGUCUUCCUGUGUUAAAGAGAGGGGCAGGGCUUCAAUGCAAGCUGCACCUGGCGCUGUUAUACUCCCCGUGCCAAGAGUAUUCCUGCUCCUGGGAACCUUCUCUUCAGCUCUGUUUGUACCCAGCCUGAAUGUGUUGUGCUUCCUACAUCUGUCACGACCCUCAGUAGGGAAUGGGGGCAUUUGCUGUGUCUGCUGCUGCAUGCCUGAAGGGUGUUUUUGUUUUGCUCUUUUUUGCAGUAGAACUGCUUUCCAAGCCAGAAAUUGCGGGCAACUCAUCAGUGAAGGCAGAAGGCAACACCAAAUCUGUUUGCAACCUCCUGAAAGGGAAGGCAGACUCAUACUGGUGAAAGAAAACGGGUUGCUGCUGCUGGGGAGCAACCACAUCCAGCUUGAGAACAACACCCUGCGCAUCCUGAGAGCCUUGUUAGACGACACCAGCUACUACGCUUGUGUGGCCCACAACAAAGUCAGCCUGAACGAAACCUCCUUCCUUCUCCAUGUCCAGAUUGAUUGCAGGUUUUUUCCUGAUUCCCAGGAAAAAAAAAAGAAAAGAAGGGGAGUGGGGGGAAAUGGCUCCAAACCACCAGUUUUUGGUGGCAGAUUUUUGCUUGGAGGGAGUGAGGUGGGGAUAAAUUCACUGUGGGUAUGGACAAUGUGGAUUCUCUUCUCCACAGAUGCAGCGAAUGUGGUGUUGCCCACAAUGCUGGCAUGCACUGCCAUGGGCUCACUGUCAGUUUACAGAAGAUGUGACAGCAGCAUUCUGCAGUGGAAAUGGAUACUGACAUGA
Melopsittacus undulatus (budgerigar) is the source of this 936-nucleotide long non-coding RNA. The record is from Ensembl. Lineage: Eukaryota; Metazoa; Chordata; Aves; Psittaciformes; Psittaculidae.